RNAcentral lists this transfer RNA (72 nucleotides) under Camelus bactrianus (Bactrian camel). It matches the Rfam family "tRNA". Rfam says of the family: Transfer RNA (tRNA) molecules are approximately 80 nucleotides in length. Their secondary structure includes four short double-helical elements and three loops (D, anti-codon, and T loops). Further hydrogen bonds mediate the characteristic L-shaped molecular structure. tRNAs have two regions of fundamental functional importance: the anti-codon, which is responsible for specific mRNA codon recognition, and the 3' end, to which the tRNAs corresponding amino acid is attached (by aminoacyl-tRNA synthetases). tRNAs cope with the degeneracy of the genetic code in two manners: having more than one tRNA (with a specific anti-codon) for a particular amino acid; and 'wobble' base-pairing, i.e. permitting non-standard base-pairing at the 3rd anti-codon position. RNAcentral also lists the same sequence under 1 other name. Lineage: Eukaryota; Metazoa; Chordata; Mammalia; Artiodactyla; Camelidae. The record is from Rfam by way of RNAcentral.
GAGAGUAUAACUCAAUGGUGGAGCAUGUGCUUAGCAGGCAUGAGGUCCUGGGUUCAGUCCCCAGUACCUCCA